CAAUAGCGUAUAUUAAAGUUGUUGCAGUUAAAAAGCUCGUAGUUGGAUCUCAGGUCCAGGCUUGCGGUCCACUCCUUGGUGGCUACUGCUCGUCCUGACCUACCUCCCGGUUUUACCCUUGGUGCUCUUGAUUGAGUGUCUCGGGUGGCCGGAACAUUUACUUUGAAAAAUUAGAGUGUUCAAAGCAGGCAAUUCGCCUGAAUAAUGGUGCAUGGAAUAAUGGAAUAGGACCUCGGUUCUAUUUUGUUGGUUUUCGGAACUUGAGGUAAUGAUUAAGAGGGACAGUUGGGGGUGCUGCUAUUAUAUGGCCAGAGGUGAAAUUCACGGAUUCAUAUAAGAGCAACUUAUGCGAAAGCAUUCACCAAGGAUGUCUUCUUUAAUCAAGAACGAAAGUUGGGGGAUCGAAGACGAUUAGAUACCG
Molecule: ribosomal RNA, 421 nt
Filed under: uncultured eukaryote
Lineage: Eukaryota
Description: bacterial SSU rRNA
Rfam family: Eukaryotic small subunit ribosomal RNA
Source: RNAcentral